Molecule: non-coding RNA, 91 nt
Organism: Lentinula aff. lateritia
Lineage: Eukaryota; Fungi; Basidiomycota; Agaricomycetes; Agaricales; Omphalotaceae
Source: the annotation of a GenBank genome assembly
GGUUUGAUGGCGUAGUUGGUUAUCGCAUCUGUCUAACACCCAUAGUGUCAAGGUUCACAGAAGGUCCCCGGUUCGAGCCCGGGUCAAAUCA